RNAcentral lists this transfer RNA (77 nucleotides) under Odontobutis haifengensis. RNAcentral describes it as "tRNA-Phe". It matches the Rfam family "tRNA". From Rfam's summary of the family: Transfer RNA (tRNA) molecules are approximately 80 nucleotides in length. Their secondary structure includes four short double-helical elements and three loops (D, anti-codon, and T loops). The record is from RNAcentral. Lineage: Eukaryota; Metazoa; Chordata; Actinopteri; Gobiiformes; Odontobutidae.
GCCAGUGUAGCUUAACUUAAAGCAUAACACUGUAACACUGGAAAUGUUAAAAUGGGGCCUAGAAACCCCCACAAGCA